Molecule: long non-coding RNA, 1807 nt
Organism: Rosa chinensis
Lineage: Eukaryota; Viridiplantae; Streptophyta; Magnoliopsida; Rosales; Rosaceae
Exons: 9
Source: RefSeq, a predicted model, not a curated record
ACGAUUCUUCCUCUCUCUCUCUCUCUCUCUCUCUCUCUCUCUCUCUCUCUCUUAUUUCCUUCUCCAUCACCAAAACCUCCUCUGCUUGCUCUUCAUCUGCUCUCACCGUAUAUCAGAGUUCAAAAAAUCUCAUAUCAGAAUACAUUGGCGCUCUCUUUCUCCUUUGUCAAUUCAAUCAGCCUCAUUCACUUAGGGUUGCUACACUUGGUUAAGAACACAGCGUCGAAGUACUUUGAGGUCAACGCAAAUUUCGAAAGAGGAGGCGGAGGAGACCACAGUGGUGAUUGGACGACCCAAAUGAUGAUCCAUUUGAGCUACGCCUACGAGCAAGGUUUCGUCACAAAUCUACAAUCUUGAUGCGAAUCUCUGCCUUCUUCAUCUCUAUCAGAACGUGUGAGCACUCAAAUUGUUACACUGAUAUUGGAAAGCUUCUGAAGAUGAAGCUAGAUGAGGUUUCAGCUAGGACCAUGGAGGUAUUGGUGGAUGCUUUUUCUAGUUCUGCAGGGCUGUCCACCUUCUCCUAUACUGAGUUGGACUAUGAAUGGGGUGAACAGAAUAGAGAUUGCCAGUGAGAUGGAUGCAACUGCUGCUGGUACGUUGAGGAGGAGGACCUCAUGAGGUUCAUGAUUGAGAAAGAGGUAGAAGUUGCAUGCUGAUUGACGUAGCACAAACCAGAUGAAUUGAUAAAAGAGCUCUAAUAGAUUGGGUGGCACUGAUGGCAAUUCCCACUCUCGAUCCAGCCUUUGUCUCUUCCUAAUUCCAGAAAGAGUGGUAUUUUUCUUUUAUUCUCUACCGAUUUACAAUUUAGUUGUUUCCAUGAACAAUUAUAUUUGGUUGAAAGAACUUAAAAUUGUUCAAGGUGCUUCAGGGGUCGAAGUGGAACUUUAAGUUUGAAGCUUUGCUACCCCUAUUGGUACAUUACAUGCUUUGUAGUUUGUCAGGGGGAAAUGAAGUGAAUUAAAAAACAAUGUUCUUGCUGAGAUCACACUGAAUUUAAUUUGUGCUUAUUGGGUUUACAUGUUGAACUCGUUUUUCUUAUUAAGUUGCAGAAAUUGUCAUUCUCCCAUGAGAGAUGAGAUCUGAUGCAAAAAAAAAAAAAAAAUUUGGUCUAUUGAGUUCACCAAAAGUUCGAGAGUUUUGAUCAACUAAUCCCCUCCUUUAUUUCUAUCUUCCUAUAUCGGCAAAUGGAGGAGCAAUUCAAGACAUUGAUUGUCCUAUCUCAUUAUUUGGUGGUGCUUUCUUUACUGGAUAAUUGGAUAUGUAGAUCCAUCAGCUAUGCAGUUCCUAAAACUCUAGUUCUUUACUGUAUUUACAUUACAAAUAGACCAUCCUCAGAGCUAAAAAAUCCUCUCCAUUGUCCGCCAUACUAAGCAAGCUCGAGACUCCACAACUCCCAAAAGGUAAGAAACUCUUGACGUCGCUUUCAAUUUUUGGUCAUAUUUUGCACUACUUUGAUCAUUGUUUUAAUCUAGGAAACUAUGUAAUCUGCACCCCCUGCCUAGUUUUGUGUACCAGAAAAGUUAUGAUAGUUUUGCUUCAAUACCAGAAAUUUUCUUUCCUUUAGGUGGAAAUCUUUCGAUUCUGCAGCUCUCAAGUACAAUUUAUCUCAUUCUCUGAUGUUGAGUACCUGGAAUCCGCCGUUUUCCGGUGGGCAAGGGUUUGUUUGAGGAUGAGAAAGCACACAAAGUUAAUUCUUCAACAUUGGCUUGAAGCUAUUGAUCCAGACCAUUAGUAUGGACACAAUUUACACAUGAACUACGAUUUAUGAUUUGAAAGUGAGAGCAGCCAGCCUUUCUUCUACUGGUAA